Non-coding RNA from Blepharisma stoltei, 73 nucleotides. NCBI's taxonomy places the organism in Eukaryota, Ciliophora, Heterotrichea, Heterotrichida, Blepharismidae. The record is from the annotation of a GenBank genome assembly.
UCAGAGGUAGCUCAGCGGUAGAGCGACUGUAUUGCAACACUGUAGGUCCCAGGUUCAAAUCCUGGCCUCUGAC